GGGAAGGUGGUUCAGUGGUAGAAUGCUUGCCUUGCAUGCAUGAAGCCCUGGGUUCGAUUCCUCCGCACCA
RNAcentral lists this transfer RNA (70 nucleotides) under Dipodomys ordii (Ord's kangaroo rat). It matches the Rfam family "tRNA". From Rfam's summary of the family: Transfer RNA (tRNA) molecules are approximately 80 nucleotides in length. Their secondary structure includes four short double-helical elements and three loops (D, anti-codon, and T loops). Lineage: Eukaryota; Metazoa; Chordata; Mammalia; Rodentia; Heteromyidae. The record is from Rfam by way of RNAcentral.